RNAcentral lists this ribosomal RNA (159 nucleotides) under Mystropetalon thomii. RNAcentral describes it as "5.8S ribosomal RNA". It matches the Rfam family "5.8S ribosomal RNA". Rfam says of the family: 5.8S ribosomal RNA (5.8S rRNA) is a component of the large subunit of the eukaryotic ribosome. It is transcribed by RNA polymerase I as part of the 45S precursor that also contains 18S and 28S rRNA. Lineage: Eukaryota; Viridiplantae; Streptophyta; Magnoliopsida; Santalales; Mystropetalaceae. The record is from RNAcentral.
CAAUAUGACUCUCGGCAACGGAUAUCUUGGCUCUUGCAUCGAUGAAGAACGCAGCGAAAUGCGAUACGUGGUGUGAAUUGCAGAAUCCCGUGAAUCAUCGAGUUUUUGAACGCAAGUUGCGCCCGAUGCCCUAGGCUGAGGGCAUGCCUGCCUGGGCGU